This 492-nucleotide ribosomal RNA is filed under the name uncultured bacterium. RNAcentral describes it as "partial 16S ribosomal RNA". It matches the Rfam family "Bacterial small subunit ribosomal RNA", at positions 29 to 507 of the family's 1533-position model. The record is from RNAcentral.
AGUGAACGCUGGCGAUAGGCCUAACACAUGCAAGUCGAACGGCAGCACAGUAAGAGCUUGCUCUUACGGGUGGCGAGUGGCGGACAGGUGAGGAAUACAUCGGAAUCUACUUUUUCGUGGGGGAUAACGUAGGGAAACUUACGCUAAUACCGCAUACGACCUACGGGUGAAAGCAGGGGAUCUUCGGACCUUGCGCGAUUGAAUGAGCCGAUGUCGGAUUAGCUAGUUGGCGGGGUAAAGGCCCACCAAGGCGACGAUCCGUAGCUGGUGUGAGAGGAUGAUCAGCCACACUGGAACUGAGACACGGUCCAGACUCCUACGGGAGGCAGCAGUGGGGAAUAUUGGACAAUGGGCGCAAGCCUGAUCCAGCCAUACCGCGUGGGUGAAGAAGGCCUUCGGGUUGUAAAGCCCUUUUGUUGGGAAAGAAAAGCAGCAGGUUAAUACCCCGCUGUUCUGACGGUACCCAAAGAAUAAGCACCGGCUAACUUCGUG